RNAcentral lists this ribosomal RNA (481 nucleotides) under uncultured bacterium. RNAcentral's name for it is "partial 16S ribosomal RNA". It matches the Rfam family "Bacterial small subunit ribosomal RNA", at positions 30 to 507 of the family's 1533-position model. The record is from RNAcentral.
UGACCGCUGGCGGCGUGCCUAACACAUGCAAGUCGAACGGAGUCGUUUUGGAAAUCUCUUCGGAGAUGGAAUUCUCGACUUAGUGGCGGACGGGUGAGUAACGCGUGAGCAAUCUGCCUUUAAGAGGGGGAUAACAGUCGGAAACGGCUGCUAAUACCGCAUAAAGCAUUAAAUUCGCAUGUUUUUGAUGCCAAAGGAGCAAUCCGCUUUUAGAUGAGCUCGCGUCUGAUUAGCUAGUUGGCGGGGUAACGGCCCACCAAGGCGACGAUCAGUAGCCGGACUGAGAGGUUGAACGGCCACAUUGGGACUGAGACACGGCCCAGACUCCUACGGGAGGCAGCAGUGGGGAAUAUUGCGCAAUGGGGGAAACCCUGACGCAGCAACGCCGCGUGAUUGAAGAAGGCCUUCGGGUUGUAAAGAUCUUUAAUCAGGGACGAAACAAAUGACGGUACCUGAAGAAUAAGCUCCGGCUAACUACGUG